This 468-nucleotide ribosomal RNA is filed under the name uncultured bacterium. Its description in RNAcentral is "partial 16S ribosomal RNA". It matches the Rfam family "Bacterial small subunit ribosomal RNA", at positions 28 to 507 of the family's 1533-position model. The record is from RNAcentral.
GACGAACGCUGGCGGCGUGCUUAACACAUGCAAGUCGAACGGAAAGGCCCUGCUUUUGUGGGGUGCUCGAGUGGCGAACGGGUGAGUAACACGUGAGUAACCUGCCCUUGACUUUGGGAUAACUUCAGGAAACUGGGGCUAAUACCGGAUAGGAGCUCCUGCUGCAUGGUGGGGGUUGGAAAGUUUCGGCGGUUGGGGAUGGACUCGCGGCUUAUCAGCUUGUUGGUGGGGUAGUGGCUUACCAAGGCUUUGACGGGUAGCCGGCCUGAGAGGGUGACCGGCCACAUUGGGACUGAGAUACGGCCCAGACUCCUACGGGAGGCAGAAGUGGGGAAUAGUGCAAAAUGGGCGGAAGCCUGAUGCAGCAACGCCGCGUGCGGGAUGACGGCCUUCGGGUUGUAAACCGCUUUCGCCUGUGACGAAGAGUGAGUGAAGGUAAUGGGUAAAGAAGCACCGGCUAACUACGUG